This 62-nucleotide transfer RNA is filed under the name Polygyra cereolus. RNAcentral's name for it is "tRNA-Tyr". RNAcentral also lists the same sequence under 1 other name. The record is from RNAcentral. Lineage: Eukaryota; Metazoa; Mollusca; Gastropoda; Stylommatophora; Polygyridae.
AUUUUAAUAUUUCAAAGAGAAUAUAGGAUUGUAAGUCCUAAGGUGGUGCAAACCUUAGAUUU